This is a long non-coding RNA of Engraulis encrasicolus (European anchovy), 359 nucleotides long. RefSeq lists it as uncharacterized. The transcript has 3 exons. NCBI's taxonomy places the organism in Eukaryota, Metazoa, Chordata, Actinopteri, Clupeiformes, Engraulidae. The record is from RefSeq and is a predicted model, not a curated record.
AGGUGCUAAAGGGCAUGCAGGAGCACAAUCCCCACCGAGAGCCAGAGAUCGUGUGUUUGAGGCUCGCCGGGAGCUGAUCAACAGGAUAGAUGAUGCCUCUCUCAGAGCUCUACUGGAUGGCCUUCAGCAGGGGGUCACUGGCAGGCCUGCUGUGAUGAUGGAUCGGCAGAGAAACGAGAUUUUGCAAGAACAUCGUGUGACUCAGGACCAGGUGACGUGUCUUGUUGACAUGUUGUGGAAGAAGGGUGAGUGGGCCUGUAGAAGAUUUCUAGAUGUCCUGGAGGAAGUGGAGCCUGCCCUCUGUGAAGACCUGUUUGGUCUUGUGAAUUCAGCAGCAACAAGACCCCCACAGGAAGCAG